UGGAAUGUGGCUUAGUGGUAGAGCACUUGCCUCGCAUGCAUGAAGCCCUAGGUUCGAUUCCUCAGUACCAC
This 71-nucleotide transfer RNA is filed under the name Dipodomys ordii (Ord's kangaroo rat). It matches the Rfam family "tRNA". Rfam says of the family: Transfer RNA (tRNA) molecules are approximately 80 nucleotides in length. Their secondary structure includes four short double-helical elements and three loops (D, anti-codon, and T loops). Lineage: Eukaryota; Metazoa; Chordata; Mammalia; Rodentia; Heteromyidae. The record is from Rfam by way of RNAcentral.